RNAcentral lists this ribosomal RNA (563 nucleotides) under Chelon ramada (thin-lipped mullet). RNAcentral's name for it is "partial 16S ribosomal RNA". It matches the Rfam family "Bacterial large subunit ribosomal RNA", at positions 1837 to 2597 of the family's 2925-position model. The record is from RNAcentral. Lineage: Eukaryota; Metazoa; Chordata; Actinopteri; Mugiliformes; Mugilidae.
AACUACACAUAAGAGGUCCUGCCUGCCCUGUGACCCCUGGUUCAACGGCCGCGGUAUUUCGACCGUGCAAAGGUAGCGCAAUCACUUGUCUCUUAAAUGAGGACCUGUAUGAAUGGCACGACGAGGGCUUAACUGUCUCCUUUCCCCGGUCAGUGAAAUUGAUCUUCCCGUGCAGAAGCGGGAAUCCUAACAUAAGACGAGAAGACCCUAUGGAGCUUUAGACUUCAGAACAGAUCAUGUAAGCUACCCCCGUGAAAUAGGUAAUAACUAUUGAAUUUCUGUUCCCCUGUCUUUGGUUGGGGCGACCACGGGGAAGAAAAAAACCCCCAUGUGGACCAGGAGCACAUUACUCCUACAACCAUGAGCCACAGCUCUAAUGCACAAAAUUUUUGACCAUUAGAUCCGGCAAAGCGGAUCAACGGACCAAGUUACCCUAGGGAUAACAGCGCAAUCCCCUUUAAGAGUCCAUAUCGACAAGGGGGUUUACGACCUCGAUGUUGGAUCAAGACAUCCUAAUGGUGCAGCCGCUAUUAAGGGUUCGUUUGUUCAACGAUUAAAGUCUU